This 253-nucleotide ribosomal RNA is filed under the name uncultured bacterium. RNAcentral's name for it is "partial 16S ribosomal RNA". It matches the Rfam family "Bacterial small subunit ribosomal RNA", at positions 524 to 776 of the family's 1533-position model. The record is from RNAcentral.
UACGUAGGGGGCAAGCGUUGUUCGGAAUUACUGGGCGUAAAGGGCGCGUAGGCGGCCUGCUAAGUCGAACGUGAAAUCCCCGGGCUCAACCCGGGAACUGCGUCCGAUACUGGUGGGCUUGAAUCCGGGAGAGGGAUGUGGAAUUCCAGGUGUAGCGGUGAAAUGCGUAGAUAUCUGGAGGAACACCGGUGGCGAAGGCGGCAUCCUGGACCGGUAUUGACGCUGAGGCGCGAAAGCCAGGGGAGCAAACGGG